Molecule: ribosomal RNA, 497 nt
Filed under: uncultured bacterium
Lineage: Bacteria
Description: partial 16S ribosomal RNA
Rfam family: Bacterial small subunit ribosomal RNA
Source: RNAcentral
GAUGAACGCUGGCGGCGUGCCUAAUACAUGCAAGUCGAGCGAACAGACGAGGAGCUUGCUCCUCUGACGUUAGCGGCGGACGGGUGAGUAACACGUGGAUAACCUACCUAUAAGACUGGGAUGACUUCGGGAAACCGGAGCUAAUACCGGAUAAUAUAUUGAACCGCAUGGUUCAAUAGUGAAAGACGGUUUUGCUGUCACUUAUAGAUGGAUCCGCGCCGCAUUAGCUAGUUGGUAAGGUAACGGCUUACCAAGGCAACGAUGCGUAGCCGACCUGAGAGGGUGAUCGGCCACACUGGAACUGAGACACGGUCCAGACUCCUACGGGAGGCAGCAGUGGGGAAUCUUCCGCAAUGGGCGAAAGCCUGACGGAGCAACGCCGCGUGAGUGAUGAAGGUCUUCGGAUCGUAAAACUCUGUUAUUAGGGAAGAACAAAUGUGUAAGUAACUAUGCACGUCUUGACGGUACCUAAUCAGAAAGCCACGGCUAACUACGUG